RNAcentral lists this ribosomal RNA (253 nucleotides) under uncultured bacterium. RNAcentral's name for it is "partial 16S ribosomal RNA". It matches the Rfam family "Bacterial small subunit ribosomal RNA", at positions 524 to 775 of the family's 1533-position model. The record is from RNAcentral.
GACAGAGGGUGCAAACGUUGUUCGGAAUUACUGGGCGUAAAGCGCGUGUAGGCGGCCAUCUAAGUCGGGCGUGAAAUCCCACGGCUCAACCGUGGAAGUGCACUCGAAACUGGAUGGCUAGAGUCCUGGAGAGGAAGGUGGAAUGCUUGGUGUAGAGGUGAAAUUCGUAGAUAUCAAGCGGAACACCGGUGGCGAAGGCGGCCUUCUGGGACAGUGACUGACGCUGAGACGCGAAAGCGUGGGGAGCAACAGG